GGGCGUGUGGUCUAGUGGUAUGAUUCUCGCUUUGGGCGAAGUUUGAGCUUAAACUUAAACUGUUUACCACAAAUAUGCGAGAGGCCCUGGGUUCAAUUCCCAGCUCGCCCC
This is a transfer RNA of 111 nucleotides. It matches the Rfam family "tRNA". From Rfam's summary of the family: Transfer RNA (tRNA) molecules are approximately 80 nucleotides in length. Their secondary structure includes four short double-helical elements and three loops (D, anti-codon, and T loops).